This 687-nucleotide ribosomal RNA is filed under the name Triticum aestivum (bread wheat). RNAcentral's name for it is "partial small subunit ribosomal RNA". The record is from RNAcentral. Lineage: Eukaryota; Viridiplantae; Streptophyta; Magnoliopsida; Poales; Poaceae.
AUGGCAGCAGCGGCGGCGCAGAGGCUUCUUGCGUCGAGCACGAAGAUCGUCGGGGCCGGGCGCAACUACAUCUCCCAUGCCAAGGAUCUCGGCAACCCUGUCCUCAAGGAACCCGUCCUGUUCCUGAAGCCCACGUCGUCAUUCCUCCACGCCGGCCCGACCGCCGGCCCCAUCGAGGUGCCCGAGCCGCUCGAGUCGCUGCACCACGAGGUCGAACUCGCCGUCGUCAUCUCCCGGCGCGCGCGCGAUGUCCCCGAGGCCUCCGCCAUGGAUUUCGUCGGAGGUUAUGCACUUGCUUUGGACAUGUCAUCAAACGAUCUGCAAUCAGCUUCUAAGUCUGCAGGUCUUCCUUGGACUUUGGGUAAAGUACAGGACACCUUUACUCCAAUUAGUGCGGUGGUUCCGAAAUCUGCAAUCGCUAAUCCCUAUGACCUAGAACUGUGGCUAAAGGUAGAUGGUGAACUUAGGCAGAAGGGACUUACAAGUGAUAUGAUAUUCAAGAUUCCUUUUCUAAUCAGUUAUAUCAGUUCCAUCAUGACAUUAAUGGAGGGCGAUGUGAUAUUAACUGGUACUCCUCCCGAUGGCGUUGGUCCUGUCCGAGUGGGACAGAAGAUUAAUGCUGGUAUAACUGACCUCAUUGAUGUAGAGUUUGAUGUUGAGAGACGCAAACGUUCAUUUUCUUACUGA